ACCUUUCUGCAGGAGGCACAGGUACCCUUCAUCUCCCUGGAUCGCUGCUCCAGCUCUAACGUGCACGGAGACGCCAUCCUGCCUGGGAUGCUUUGUGCUGGCUUCUUGGAGGGAGGCGCCGAUGCCUGUCAGGUCAGCCCUGGGGUCCUGGUUGGUACCUUGCCCCUCUGCCUGUCAACCAUAGGGCAAGAGCCAUGUGCUGCCUGUUCCCCACCCAGGGUGACUCCGGGGGUCCUCUGGUAUGUGAUGAAGGAGUUACAGAGCGUCAGCUCACCCUGCGAGGAGUCAUCAGCUGGGGCUCCGGCUGUGGUGACCGGAACAAGCCCGGGGUCUACACUGACGUGGCCAAUUACCUGGAUUGGAUCCAGGAGCAUACUGCUUUCUAAGUAACCAGGGUCGGUCCUUGCGAAGCUAGUGGCUGGGCCCCAGGGACACAGAAACUCAAUAAAGUGCUUUGAAAACGUU
This 465-nucleotide long non-coding RNA is filed under the name Rattus norvegicus (Norway rat). Its description in RNAcentral is "long non-coding RNA NONRATT012278". Lineage: Eukaryota; Metazoa; Chordata; Mammalia; Rodentia; Muridae. The record is from RNAcentral.